Molecule: ribosomal RNA, 492 nt
Filed under: uncultured bacterium
Lineage: Bacteria
Description: partial 16S ribosomal RNA
Rfam family: Bacterial small subunit ribosomal RNA
Source: RNAcentral
AGUGAACGCUGGCGGUAGGCCUAACACAUGCAAGUCGAACGGCAGCACAGUAAGAGCUUGCCCUUACGGGUGGCGAGUGGCGGACGGGUGAGGAAUACAUCGGAAUCUACUUUUUCGUGGGGGAUAACGUAGGGAAACUUACGCUAAUACCGCAUACGACCUACGGGUGAAAGCAGGGGAUCUUCGGACCUUGCGCGAUUGAAUGAGCCGAUGUCGGAUUAGCUAGUUGGCGGGGUAAAGGCCCACCAAGGCGACGAUCCGUAGCUGGUCUGAGAGGAUGAUCAGCCACACUGGAACUGGGACACGGUCCAGACUCCUACGGGAGGCAGCAGUGGGGAAUAUUGGACAAUGGGCGCAAGCCUGAUCCAGCCAUACCGCGUGGGUGAAGAAGGCCUUCGGGUUGUAAAGCCCUUUUGUUGGGAAAGAAAAGCAGCAGGUUAAUACCCCGCUGUUCUGACGGUACCCAAAGAAUAAGCACCGGCUAACUUCGUG